CGCUGCUGGCAGAGUUGCUACUAUUGAUGUCUCUAUUUUAUAUUUUCUAGCCGCGGCAAAUUCAGAUUAUAGAUGGACUUAUGAGAACCCAACAAAUGAAGACUGCCAAGGAGAUAUCCUGACUCAGUGAUCAAAUUAUGCCUUGACUAUGCCUCCUUCCUGGGGAGCAGUAGCUCCCUUUGGGGUAGCACAAACCCCACCUCCUCCAUUGGUGGACUUUCUGCCCUGGCCUCCUCUAUCCUCAUCUGUAAAAGGGGUAUAAGCAUGUUUCCCCUCUUUUGUAAAGAGCUUUAAUAUCUGUAAAUGUAAAGCACUAUACAAGUCCAGAAAUAUAUAUAAAUAUAAAAUCAUAUUUAUUAUUAAUUAACCACAGCCCAACACUAGAUUUUUUUUCUGGCGGUCUUGUUUUCUGCCUCUGACAGACAGUGGGUUUUGUUUUCGUCAAGAUAGAUUUGGGUUUGGGCUAAUAAUGGAGGUGUCUGAGGAGCAAGGGGUUUAAUCAUAGUCCUCGCAUUCUUAGCCACAGACUCCUCUCUUUGCCUUACCCCUGUGAAUAUACACAGGAGUAAUUUGGUGGCAGUGCAGAAUCAGUCCCCUGCACUCCCUGUUCAGUUCAGCAUGUUUAAUCUGUGCAGUACUUUGCACUUGCUCUGUGCAAAAUAAAGCCUAGCGGCUCAAGACACAUAAAGUGUGCGUACGCUAUUUCUUGUUAGUUACUUUGCUUAAUAAUCAUACUGAUUAGUUUCCAGAAAUUUUUACUUCACUGUCAGAAACACUUUCUCACCCAUUUAGCUAAGUUUCCUGAUGUUUCUGCUCAAUGUUAAUCAGGUUGUCUGUUUUGAAGUUUCCAUAUUGGAGUUUUUACCUAAGGAUAUAAAAUCUGAGUGGUAUAAAAACUGGGCCAAGUUACUUGAAGAAAACCAUGUCAUAAAAACUCUCAUUGGUGAAAAUGGUUUGUUUUUCUACAAGUAAAAUAAAAUUUACUCCAAAUGCAACUGACAGAGGGAGAAGGAUCAGAUGUGAGGUUAUUAAUCCAACAACUCACUCCCGUAUAGAGAGAGCCUUUGAACUGAAACUCAGAGGUAACAUGGUAUUUGCUUUCCCCUUUAAAGAUUUCUCAACUAGCUGUGAACGAAUACCUACUCUGACGGUAAAUCAGAACCACACAAAGCCAUCAACAAGAAUACCGAUGAUAUCUACAUUUCCUGGUUUAAGGGGAAAUAUCUCACUGACACAGGAAUAGAAAAUGCUGAGUCUGAGAGUGGUUUUAGUUUCUCUGUGACGUUUAAAGCUGAAGAACAAAAUAAAGAAUGCAAGGUCAGAUGUGAGGCUGAUACUGAAGAUGGACCACUAGAAGAAACAUACAUUUUAAAACUUGGAUAAUCUCCAUACAGUGAAGAAGGUGGACAUCAAACAGCAACUCUAUCCCUGACUUUCUAGGGUUCAAUGAACAGUUACUCUGUUCCUUUUAAACUUCUAACCAGAAUGACAGUUAUUAUGAGACAGCAUACACAUGCCAUGGAUGGGAGAACUGGUUCUGAUAUAAUUAAAAAUGAUCUGAACCUCUGCCCAAAAUCCAGACCCAGAAAGAGAGAAAAUUGGGAAAGAAAUCUGAUACACUGGUGGAGGGUGGCAGCAGAAAUCUCAAGUUCAUAUCUCAGCUGGGAUCCAGGAAUGUACCAUUUGUUGGACCUCCAUGGACCUCAUUCUGACAGACGUCUCAAAUAAAGCUGAUUGGAAUUUCUCUCUCUCCCUGCCCCCCUUUGCUGGAAAACAUUGACCAAAAACACUUCUAUCUUGUUUUUGUCAAAAAGCUAAAAUAUUUGGCCAAAAUCCAGAAUUGAAAUACUUUGGGAUUUGGCCAAAUAUUUCAGUUCUGAAAUGCUGCUAGAGUGCUUUAUGGGAGCUGCAGUUUGGGUGCUUCAUGCCCCCAUUCUCCUCUAUAGGCAAGGCUCACUGGUUGGACUACACAGGGGAAGGGAGGCAGUGCACCACGGUACUCUCAUGGCAGCAGUGUAUAAUGCGAAUUGAAGUAUGGCUGGAGAAUCUGACCCAGAAUGAAAAAUAGGAACACAAAGCACCUGAGCUACAACUCCCAGGUGCCAUCAAGAUGGCAUUUCAGAAUAUAAGUAUUUUGUUUUUUUGCUAUAAUAUUUCAGUUUUCAGAUGU
Molecule: non-coding RNA, 2170 nt
Organism: Chelonoidis abingdonii (Abingdon island giant tortoise)
Lineage: Eukaryota; Metazoa; Chordata; Testudines; Testudinidae
Source: RefSeq, a predicted model, not a curated record